UCCCUGGCAGUCCAGUGGUUAAGAAUCUGCACUUCAAGUGCAGAAGGUGUAGGUUCAAUCCCUGGCCAGGAAA
Molecule: transfer RNA, 73 nt
Filed under: Ovis aries (sheep)
Lineage: Eukaryota; Metazoa; Chordata; Mammalia; Artiodactyla; Bovidae
Rfam family: tRNA
About the family: Transfer RNA (tRNA) molecules are approximately 80 nucleotides in length. Their secondary structure includes four short double-helical elements and three loops (D, anti-codon, and T loops). Further hydrogen bonds mediate the characteristic L-shaped molecular structure. tRNAs have two regions of fundamental functional importance: the anti-codon, which is responsible for specific mRNA codon recognition, and the 3' end, to which the tRNAs corresponding amino acid is attached (by aminoacyl-tRNA synthetases). tRNAs cope with the degeneracy of the genetic code in two manners: having more than one tRNA (with a specific anti-codon) for a particular amino acid; and 'wobble' base-pairing, i.e. permitting non-standard base-pairing at the 3rd anti-codon position.
Source: Rfam by way of RNAcentral